This 722-nucleotide ribosomal RNA is filed under the name uncultured eukaryote. Its description in RNAcentral is "SSU rRNA". It matches the Rfam family "Eukaryotic small subunit ribosomal RNA", at positions 672 to 1426 of the family's 1831-position model. The record is from RNAcentral.
GGUAUCGCCGUUAGUCAUGUGCAAAUAUGGAUAGCUGUUUUAGCCGUCUUUAUUGACUGGUUUAUAAGAGUUAUCAGAUAUCACUUUGAUUAAAUUAGAGUGCUUAAAGCAAGUGUGUUACUUGGAUAUAAAUGCAUGGAAUGAUGGAAUAUGUUGUUAUUCUAUUUGUUGGUUUUUGAAUGAUAAAAUGAUUGAAAGGAACUGUUGGGGGCAUUUGUAUUGUUGUGAGAGAGGUGAAAUUCUUAGACCACAGCAAGACGAACUACUGCGAAAGCAUUUGCCAAGAAUGUUUUCAUUGAUCAAGAACGAAAGUUAGAGGUUCGAAGGCGAUCAGAUACCGCCCUAGUUCUAACCAUAAACUAUGCCAACUAGCAAUUUGCUUUGUAUUUUUUAUGACUAAGUGAGAGGCCACGGGAAACCUAAGUAGGGUUAUGGGGGAAGUAUGGUUGCAAAGCUGAAACUUAAAGGAAUUGACGGAAGGGCACCACCAGGAGUGGAGCCUGCGGCUUAAUUUGACUCAACACGGGAAAACUUACCUGGUCCUGACACUAGAAGGAUUGACAGAUUGAUAGCUCUUUCUUGAUUUGGUGGAUGGUGGUGCAUGGCCGUUCUUAGUUGGUGGAGUGAUUUGUCUGGUUAAUUCCGAUAACGAACGAGACUCUAGCCUAUUAAAUAAUACACGGAAUUUUAUCUUCCGCGGUAUUUCUUAGUGGGAUCAAGCG